GACGAACGCUUGCGGCGUGCCUAAGAAAUGCAAGUCGAGCGGGGGAGCAAUCCCUAGCGGCGAACGGUCGCGUAACACGUAAGCAACCUGCCCGAAAGACCGGGACAACAGCUCGAAAGGGCUGCUAAUACCGGAUGUGUCCACUGGGUCUCAUGACCUGGUGAGUAAAUCAUUUAUGGCUUUCGGAGGGGCUUGCGGCCUAUCAGCUAGAUGGCGGUGUAACGGACCACCAUGGCGACGACGGGUAGCUGGUCUGAGAGGAUGGUCAGCCGGACUGGGACUGAGAUACGGCCCAGACUCCGUACGGGGGCGAGCAAUUAGGAAUCUUGUGCAAUGGGCGAAAGCCUGACACAGCGACGCCGCGUGAGGGAGGAAGGCCUU
Molecule: ribosomal RNA, 381 nt
Filed under: uncultured bacterium
Lineage: Bacteria
Description: bacterial SSU rRNA
Rfam family: Bacterial small subunit ribosomal RNA
Source: RNAcentral